RNAcentral lists this ribosomal RNA (447 nucleotides) under uncultured bacterium. RNAcentral's name for it is "bacterial SSU rRNA". It matches the Rfam family "Bacterial small subunit ribosomal RNA", at positions 355 to 825 of the family's 1533-position model. The record is from RNAcentral.
UCGGGAAUUUUGGGCAAUGGGGGAAACCCUGACCCAGCAACGCCGCGUGAAGGAUGAAGUAUUUCGGUAUGUAAACCUCGAAAGAAUAGGAAGAAUAAAUGACGGUACUAUUUGUAAGGUCCGGCUAACUACGUGCCAGCAGCCGCGGUAAUACGUAGGGACCAAGCGUUGUUCGGAUUUACUGGGCGUAAAGGGCGCGUAGGCGGUGUGUCAAGUCAGUUGUGAAAUCUCCGAGCUUAACUCGGAACGGUCAACUGAUACUGUCACACUAGAGUACAGAAGGGGCAAUCGGAAUUCUUGGUGUAGCGGUGAAAUGCGUAGAUAUCAAGAGGAACACCUGAGGCGAAGGCGGGUUGCUGGGCUGAUACUGACGCUGAGGCGCGAAAGCUAGGGUAGCAAACGGGAUUAGAUACCCUAGUAGUCCCUGAGCGGGCUGGCAAGGCGCAU